RNAcentral lists this ribosomal RNA (463 nucleotides) under uncultured Anaerolineaceae bacterium. Its description in RNAcentral is "bacterial SSU rRNA". It matches the Rfam family "Bacterial small subunit ribosomal RNA", at positions 907 to 1382 of the family's 1533-position model. Lineage: Bacteria; Bacillati; Chloroflexota; Anaerolineae; Anaerolineales; Anaerolineaceae. The record is from RNAcentral.
AGAAUUGACGGGACCCGCACAAGCAGCGGAGCGUGUGGUUUAAUUCGUUGCUACACGAAGAACCUUACCUGGGUUUGACAUAGCAGUGGUAGGGAAGCGAAAGCGGACCGACCCUUCGGGGAGCUGUUACAGGCGUUGCAUGGCUGUCGUCAGCUCGUGUCGUGAGAUGUUCGGUUAAGUCCGCUAACGAGCGCAACCCUCGUGAUGUGUUACAAGUGUCACAUCAUACUGCCGGUAUUAAGUCGGAGGAAGGUGGGGAUGACGUCAAGUCAGCAUGACCUUUAUAUCCAGGGCUACACACACGCUACAAUGGUCUGUACAAUAGGUUGCCAAGCCGCGAGGCGGAGCCAAUCCUAAAAAGCAGGCCUCAGUUCAGAUUGCAGUCUGCAACUCGCCUGCAUGAAGAUGGAGUUGCUAGUAACCGCAGGUCAGCAAUACUGCGGUGAAUACGUUCCCGGGUCUU